CACUGGACCUGGGAGAUACGUCAUCCUCCCUCUUUAUGCAGGAAAAUCUUGUCAUCCCUCAGAUCUAGAUUAUAUAAAGGUCCAGUUUACAGAUAUAGGGAAAAACACUCCCAUUUCUAUUUGGUCUACUUGGUCCUACUUUUGGGGAAUAGUUUACAAUAAGUAUGGAAACCAACCUGGAUCCUUGAUCCAGAUUCAACACACAAUGGAAAGUUUGCCAUCACCCCCCAGUGGGCCCUAAUAAGGUCCUGCCUGAUUAAGGGUCUCCAAAAGCCCUAGCACCACCUCCGAGGUCAAAAAGCCCCAGUAACUCCCCCAGCAGCUCCACCCGUG
This 333-nucleotide long non-coding RNA is filed under the name Rattus norvegicus (Norway rat). RNAcentral's name for it is "long non-coding RNA NONRATT019232". Lineage: Eukaryota; Metazoa; Chordata; Mammalia; Rodentia; Muridae. The record is from RNAcentral.